AGAGUUGUUGGAAGGAAGGUGGAGCACAAGUGCAUGGCCUGGAGAAGCUGCAAGUAGUGAUUUCAUAGCUGGGGGAGAAAGUUGUGUAGAGGUAUAUCUGCCCAAUAUAGGCGUGCAGCUUAUAAGUAUACAACUGAGUUGCGUUUUCUUUGCAUGGGCUUAUUGGAAUUAGAGAUUCACAGCAACAAACUUGUGUUUUCCUUUAAUGGGCUUAUUGUGGUUGGAGAUUUACCACAACAAAAUGGAUGGCUCCCCAACCUAUUGAUUAGAGCUCAACUAACCUGAGAUUAAAAAAAAAAAAUCACUGUCAAUCCUCUCAUUCCUAAUACAAGGCUAGGGUAUCGAUCUAAGCUGCAGCCGUGUGUGGACUAAAAGCUCACUGGGUCUGAAGGGCCUACAGAGAACUGCAGAGAGGCUAACCACAGGUAGACAGCUUCAACCAGGGGCAGCACCCCAGCCUGGAGCUGAACUUGAGCAGACACAGUGAACUGACCGGGCAUCUACACCUGAGAGAGCCUUUCCGUGUUUGCUUCCCUGAAUCUCCCCUGUCUACUGUGACCAAGACAGCCAGUCUCUGAAUCGAACAGCAGAGUGAGCCAAAAGUACAAAAGGCUCCAGAUCAGGUAAUAAGCAUCAUACAUUGGAACUUAAAGAUGAGAAACACAAUAAAUAUCUUUUGGUCUUUAAGGGAUGAUAUUCUGAAUGGUUUGACUGGCAUGGAGUUAAAGGAGAUAGACAUCUUGUCAUUUACUGGUACUGCAAUAUUUAUUCUCUUGAUCUACUAUAUCUUCUCAAAAGACAGGGCCCUAGAUAAAGAAAAUUGCUUGCCUUAGAAAAGAGAUUACAGGUAACACUAAAACUAAAGGUUAAGGAUUUUAUAGGUCAAGAUAAGCAAGAGAAAGAGGAAAAUAUAGGUUAGAGACAGUACCUGGAAAAGACGCUAGAAAAAAGGAUUCAAUGAUUCACAGAUCAGACUGAACAAACAGCAAGGAGAUAGAGAUAAAAUUUGGAAGCAAAGUCUAGAGGAUAAUUUACUAAAGCUUGAAAAUCAAAAUGAGGCAGGUGCUGCACUAUCAGAACUACAACAUAAAGAGAAGCUAAGGAUCUGGAAGCAGGGCUUAGAACAGAAGAUACAGGAAAUUAUAGAGCAACAUGAAAAACAGAAAGAAAAAUUUAAGACUAGGCGAUGUGGCCUAGAGGAAACACUAGAGCUGAAGACACAGGAAAUUAUAGAUCAGAACAAAAGACAGAAAGGU
RNAcentral lists this long non-coding RNA (1256 nucleotides) under Mus musculus (house mouse). RNAcentral's name for it is "long non-coding RNA chr19:34622238-34623494". Lineage: Eukaryota; Metazoa; Chordata; Mammalia; Rodentia; Muridae. The record is from RNAcentral.